This 126-nucleotide ribosomal RNA is filed under the name Olea europaea subsp. europaea. Its description in RNAcentral is "LSU_rRNA_bacteria". Lineage: Eukaryota; Viridiplantae; Streptophyta; Magnoliopsida; Lamiales; Oleaceae. The record is from RNAcentral.
CCUACCCUGUGCUAGAAGGUCAAAAGGAGAAGUGUUAGCUGCUUUGAAUGGAAACCUGGUAAGCAGUGGCAAUAACUUUAGCUGUCCUAAGGUAAUGAAAUUCCUUGUCAUAGGAGUAACAAACGG